RNAcentral lists this microRNA (22 nucleotides) under Ascaris suum (pig roundworm). RNAcentral's name for it is "asu-miR-279b-3p". Its record names the gene asu-miR-279b-3p. Lineage: Eukaryota; Metazoa; Nematoda; Chromadorea; Rhabditida; Ascarididae. The record is from miRBase by way of RNAcentral.
UGACUAGACUGAUAACCAGCUC